UAUCAAUAAGCGGAGGAAAAGAAACCAACAGGGAUUGCCCUAGUAACGGCGAGUGAAGCGGCAACAGCUCAAAUUUGAAAUCUGGCUCUCUUUGGGGGUCCGAGUUGUAAUUUGCAGAGGAUGCUUUGGCAUUGGCGGCGGUCUAAGUUCCUUGGAACAGGACAUCGCAGAGGGUGAGAAUCCCGUACGUGGGCGCCUGCCUUUGCCGUGUAAAGCUCCUUCGACGAGUCGAGUUGUUUGGGAAUGCAGCUCUAAAUGGGAGGUAAAUUUCUUCUAAAGCUAAAUACCGGCCAGAGACCGAUAGCGCACAAGUAGAGUGAUCGAAAGAUGAAAAGUACUUUGGAAAGAGAGUCAAAAAGCACGUGAAAUUGUUGAAAGGGAAGCGCUUGCAGCCAGACUUGCCCGCAGUUGCUCACCUAGGCUUUGGCCUGGGGCACUCUUCUGCGGGCAGGCCAGCAUCAGUUUGGGCGGUCGGACAAAGGCCUCUGUCAAGUAUCUCCCUUCGGGGUGACCUUAUAGGGGAGGCGUAAUGCGACCAGCCCGGACUGAGGUCCGCGCAUCUGCUAGGAUGCUGGCGUAAUGGCUGUAAGCGGCCCGUCUUGAAACACGGACCAA
This 615-nucleotide small RNA is filed under the name Paraconiothyrium cyclothyrioides. RNAcentral describes it as "eukaryotic LSU rRNA". It matches the Rfam family "Eukaryotic large subunit ribosomal RNA", at positions 41 to 669 of the family's 3401-position model. The record is from RNAcentral. Lineage: Eukaryota; Fungi; Ascomycota; Dothideomycetes; Pleosporales; Didymosphaeriaceae.